GCACUUACCUGGCAGUGGAGAGACCAUGAUCAGGAAGGUGGUUUACCCAUUGCAUUACAUAUAUGCAAGGCUUACCCAUUGCAUUCCAGAUAUGCUGACCUCUAUGAUUUUCCCAAAUGUGGGAAACUUGACUGCAUAAUUUGGGGUAGCAGGGGACUGCAUUUGUGCUCUCCCCUA
Molecule: small nuclear RNA, 177 nt
Organism: Ailuropoda melanoleuca (giant panda)
Lineage: Eukaryota; Metazoa; Chordata; Mammalia; Carnivora; Ursidae
Gene: U1
Rfam family: U1 spliceosomal RNA
About the family: U1 is a small nuclear RNA (snRNA) component of the spliceosome (involved in pre-mRNA splicing). Its 5' end forms complementary base pairs with the 5' splice junction, thus defining the 5' donor site of an intron. There are significant differences in sequence and secondary structure between metazoan and yeast U1 snRNAs, the latter being much longer (568 nucleotides as compared to 164 nucleotides in human).
Source: Ensembl